GAAGAUCUUUUGAACUCUGAGGUUCAAGACCACGCGUGCUUCUCACAUUUAUUGAGACAGAGAGUAUUAAUCAACAGCGGUUCAAGUUUCCACAAUGAGCUAUACAUCAUCUAAACUCACAUGGAUAUACCAGUGUUUUGUAGUGUGAGGAUAAUAAGGUGAAGUGAGGCUGCUGCUCACCGGUGGCUCGCCGGCCAUCCGAGAGCCGGAAUUGCGGCCCCACGCGAGGGAAAGAUCAGCGUUGCUGCAACCACGGCAGGACACCCACCAUGCGCGUACCAUACAGGCAGCAGCAGCCUCACUUCACCUUGGAUGACAUGAAGAUUAUGAAAUAUUCAGUCAUCCCCCUUGGGUCUACCUGUUAGAAACUUGGACCUACUCAUGUGUUUGAGAUGAUUGUGCAGAAAAGAUGAAAAACGGGAUACAAUUCUAUGUGAGAGAUGACCGCUAAAGGAGUGCGAUGCCACCAUCCUGUGCCACAAACCAUACCAAGAAUGGCGGGUUAUGGAUAGAGUUCAUUUGAUCCAUCUGAUAAAAAUACCUAUUGGGGAAUAGGCAUGAAAAGUAAUCAACCACUCUUUCCGCAGUGGAGUUCGGCCAUGAUGAUCAGAAGUUUAGGACCACACUGUAGUCAAGAAAAAGGAAUGAUCUUCACUGUGUUAAGUGUACCCGCUCCAGAUUUCAUCGACAGUAAAUGGUCCACUGCUAUUGGCAGGUGCCUUCUUGCACUCUUCUGACCCAGAUACGUAAGAGCAUGGCUCAAAACUCACAGAGAGUCACAACUUUGAAAUGGUUUUAUUUAAACAAUGAAACAAUGUUAUUUGACUGAAAAUCUGCACUAUAUUUUGAUUAUGGGGACACAGCUGAAAUGUAUACACCAAGAAAACAUAACUCUUUUCAGUUGAAUUUCAAAUUCAUGUUGUGAAAAUCAAAUCCAUUUCAAAUUCCAUGUUUUCGGCUAGAAUGAUUAAUGCUACACCGCUGCUGAUGCCAAAGGUUGUGACACUUUUUUAAUGAUAGUGCAAAUUGAUUGAUGAUGCAGCGCAAGUAGUACAAGUUCAUCAUGUCCACUGCCCAUCCAUGAAUUGUUUUACGAUUGUUUUUCCCGCUGCAAUACACGGGCACAUUGUAGGAGGAAUAUGUAUGCGUUGGUGGGUGCUGGAGGUUCCCUGCAACACGCGAGGAUCCGAUGGCGAGCCGUAGGUCGGGGAAGUCGUCAGCAUACAUAUAAGGAGAUGGAGGUGGAGGUGGCGGUGGAGGGAGACAGGCAUUCACUACUCGUCGGAGGGCGAGGGCACGGAGGACAACCGGCACGACGGUUACCACGCCUUCCUCCCGUCGAAUCACUCAAGCACGACGUCCUGGUCCUCUCUAUCCAUUGGCCCCCUCCAACAUCUACCAUGAUGACCACAUCUUGUUUGUGUAGCAGCAGCGGCGGCCAUCCAUGAUCUUCUUUUGUGCCGACCUGCUAGAAACAGGUUGGGCUAUAGACAACUAGAGAUUGGUCACCUGUCUAGCAGCUCAUUUCUGAAAACAAAGACCAGGUCUAUGUGUUCAAAAUCAUGAAGGAGGAUGUCAAAGUGUUUCUGCAGCGCAUCAGGCGGAAGAAAAAGCAACAUGAAGUUCCCAUCUACAUCAAACUGCUUUCACUUAUAUUCUGCCGAAUUUGUUCCAUCUAUAGGACUGUACAUGGAGAUUAUCUAUAAGGGUUAUGUCCCGUGCAAGGAGAUUAUUUUAUAGGACAGGCAUAUCAGCCCCCAUUCAGACAUAGCAGAUAUUCAACAGAAGAAGUUCCUCCACUGCUACUGGCCAAACUCUAAGCAAAAAGACCUUCCACUUUCCUUGCUAAUGGUGAGCAACUCAAAGAUGGCUACAAGGUUACACUUAAUAUUUACUCUCUGUAUAACAUAUUAUUUAUUUGACCAAUACAUGUAUAAAUGCCUUGAGAGAACAUGUAUAUAUAGCUGCAUAUAUGUUAUAUCUGAACAAUGGCAGAUUUGACCAUUAAUUACAUGUAUAUACUUGCUAGGAGAGAACGUGUAUAGCUUUCAGUUAAGCUUUUCGAUCAUUAAGCUGUUACUUUCUCAUCUUAUUUCUAGGUAGAAACA
This is a long non-coding RNA of Triticum dicoccoides, 2108 nucleotides long. RefSeq lists it as uncharacterized. The transcript is spliced from 9 exons. Lineage: Eukaryota; Viridiplantae; Streptophyta; Magnoliopsida; Poales; Poaceae. The record is from RefSeq and is a predicted model, not a curated record.